RNAcentral lists this ribosomal RNA (392 nucleotides) under uncultured bacterium. Its description in RNAcentral is "partial 16S ribosomal RNA". It matches the Rfam family "Bacterial small subunit ribosomal RNA", at positions 523 to 918 of the family's 1533-position model. The record is from RNAcentral.
AUACGGAGGAUCCGAGCGUUAUCCGGAUUUAUUGGGUUUAAAGGGUGCGCAGGCGGCCAUUUAAGUCAGCGGUUAAAUCGUGGGGCUCAACCCCAUUCUGCCGUUGAUACUGGGUGGCUUGAUUGCGGUCGAGGUUGGCGGAAUUCGUUGUGUAGCGGUGAAAUGCAUAGAUAUGACGAAGAACACUGAUUGCGUAGGCAGCUGACCAGACCGCAAAUGACGCUCAUGCACGAAAGUGCGGGGAUCGAACAGGAUUAGAUACCCUGGUAGUCCGCACAGUAAACGAUGAAUACUUGUUUUCGGCGAUAUAAUGUCGGAGGCAAAGCGAAAGCGAUAAGUAUUCCACCUGGGGAGUACGCCGGCAACGGUGAAACUCAAAGGAAUUGACGGGG